AUUGAACGCUGGCGGCAUGCCUUACACAUGCAAGUCGAACGGCAGCACGGGAGCAAUCCUGGUGGCGGGUGGCGAACGGGUGAGUAAUAUAUCGGAACGUGCCCAGUCGUGGGGGAUAACGUAGCGAAAGCUACGCUAAUACCGCAUACGAUCUAUGGAUGAAAGCGGGGGAUCGCAAGACCUCGCGCGAUUGGAGCGGCCGAUAUCAGAUUAGGUAGUUGGUGGGGUAAAAGCCUACCAAGCCUUCGAUCUGUAGCUGGUCUGAGAGGACGACCAGCCACACUGGAACUGAGACACGGUCCAGACUCCUACGGGAGGCAGCAGUGGGGAAUUUUGGACAAUGGGCGCAAGCCUGAUCCAGCAAUGCCGCGUGCAGGAUG
This 380-nucleotide ribosomal RNA is filed under the name uncultured bacterium. RNAcentral's name for it is "bacterial SSU rRNA". It matches the Rfam family "Bacterial small subunit ribosomal RNA", at positions 30 to 410 of the family's 1533-position model. The record is from RNAcentral.